CCUACGGGUGGCAGCAGUGAGGAAUAUUGGUCAAUGGCCGAGAGUCUGAACCAGCCAAGUAGCGUGAAGGAUGAAUGCCCUAUGGGUUGUAAACUUCUUUUAUCAAGGGAUAAAAUGAGGCACGUGUGCCUUUUUGCAUGUACUUUAUGAAUAAGCAUCGGCUAACUCCGUGCCAGCAGCCGCGGUAAUACGGAGGAUCCGAGCGUUAUCCGGAUUUAUUGGGUUUAAAGGGAGCGUAGACGGGUUGUUAAGUCAGUAGUGAAAGUUCGCGGCUCAACCGUAAAAUUGCAAUUGAAACUGGCAGUCUUGAGUACAGUUGAGGUAGGCGGAAUGCGUGGUGUAGCGGUGAAAUGCUUAGAUAUCACGAAGAACCCCGAUUGCGAAGGCAGCUUACUAGACUGUGACUGACACUGAUGCACGAAAGUGUGGGUAUCAAACAGGAUUAGAUACCCUUGUAGUC
This 460-nucleotide ribosomal RNA is filed under the name uncultured bacterium. Its description in RNAcentral is "partial 16S ribosomal RNA". It matches the Rfam family "Bacterial small subunit ribosomal RNA", at positions 338 to 795 of the family's 1533-position model. The record is from RNAcentral.